This 433-nucleotide ribosomal RNA is filed under the name uncultured bacterium. Its description in RNAcentral is "partial 16S ribosomal RNA". It matches the Rfam family "Bacterial small subunit ribosomal RNA", at positions 29 to 507 of the family's 1533-position model. The record is from RNAcentral.
AACGAACGCUGGCGGCAGGCCUAACACAUGCAAGUCGAGCGCACCCUUCGGGGUGAGCGGCGGACGGGUGAGUAACGCGUGGGAACGUGCCCUUCUCUGCGGAAUAGCCUCGGGAAACUGAGAGUAAUACCGCAUACGCCCUUUGGGGGAAAGAUUUAUCGGAGAAGGAUCGGCCCGCGUUGGAUUAGGUAGUUGGUGGGGUAAUGGCCUACCAAGCCGACGAUCCAUAGCUGGUUUGAGAGGAUGAUCAGCCACACUGGGACUGAGACACGGCCCAGACUCCUACGGGAGGCAGCAGUGGGGAAUCUUAGACAAUGGGGGCAACCCUGAUCUAGCCAUGCCGCGUGAGUGAUGAAGGCCUUAGGGUUGUAAAGCUCUUUCAGCUGGGAAGAUAAUGACGGUACCAGCAGAAGAAGCCCCGGCUAACUCCGUG